Molecule: ribosomal RNA, 510 nt
Filed under: uncultured delta proteobacterium
Lineage: Bacteria; Deltaproteobacteria
Also listed under: 1 other name
Description: bacterial SSU rRNA
Rfam family: Bacterial small subunit ribosomal RNA
Source: RNAcentral
GGGUGGCAACCCUGACGCAGCAAUGCCGCGUGAGUGAAGAAGGCCUUCGGGUCGUAAAGCUCUUUUAUGGGGGAAGAUGAUGACGGUACCCCAUGAAUAAGCACCGGCUAACUACGUGCCAGCAGCCGCGGUAAUACGUAGGGUGCGAGCGUUGUUCGGAAUUACUGGGCGUAAAGGGCGUGCAGGCGGAUUGGCAAGCCGGAGGUGAAAGCCCGGGGCUCAACCCCGGAGGGUCUUUCGGAACUGCCAGUCUUGAGAGGGUCAGGGGCCAGCGGAAUUCCUGGUGUAGAGGUGAAAUUCGUAGAGAUCAGGAGGAACACCGGCGGCGAAAGCGGCUGGCUGGGGCCACUCUGACGCUGAGGCGCGAAAGCGUGGGGAGCAAACAGGAUUAGAUACCCUGGUAGUCCACGCCGUAAACGAUGGGCACUAAGCGUCCGACGGGUUCGACCCUGUUGGGUGCUGCAGUUAACGCGUUAAGUGCCCCGCCUGGGGAGUACGGUCGCAAGACUA